Molecule: ribosomal RNA, 292 nt
Filed under: uncultured bacterium
Lineage: Bacteria
Description: partial 16S ribosomal RNA
Rfam family: Bacterial small subunit ribosomal RNA
Source: RNAcentral
GUGUCAGCAGCCGCGGUAAUACAGAGGGUGCAAGCGUUAAUCGGAAUUACUGGGCGUAAAGGGUGCGUAGGUGGUUAAUUAAGUUGUAUGUGAAAACCCUGGGCUUAACCUAGGAAUUGCAUAUAAAACUGAUUAGCUAGAGUGCGGUAGAGGGAAGUGGAAUUUCCGGUGUAGCGGUGAAAUGCGUAGAUAUCGGAAGGAACAUCAGUGGCGAAGGCGACUUCCUGGACCGUUACUGACACUGAGGCACGAAAGCGUGGGGAGCGAACAGGAUUAGAUACCCUAGUAGUCC